GAAAAGGAGUGUGUAUAAACGUCUCUCUCCGUGUUGAACAUUGUCGGUAUUUGGUGUCGGGCAGUUGGCUGGUUAACAGCGCUUUUCCGUUCUGACCAAUCAGAGCUCAGCACCAUGUCGGCUCGCGCUAUUAGAGCGUCGCGCGCCAGUCCCUCCAACAGAGAGCAGAAAGGGCUGAACAUCAGCGCGGCCAUUUUCUCCUAAGCUGGAGCUCUAUGGCCAAAAUGGGCUUCCUUUGUUUCUAAAGGGAUCUAAAGCUUGAUUUCAUCAUCAUCUUCAUCUUUAUGGACUAUUGAACACAUUACAGUGUUUCUGUGUACAGGAUUUCAGAAGAAGGAAGAUGAAAUGUUGGAUCAUAUCCCUUUGAUAUUUUUAAGCUUCUGUGCUUUUUUUUUUUCCUCUUCUCUUCCUGGAAUCCAUCUUUGUCCUACCAAACUAGGUCAUGGCACACCCAUAUAACCAGUAUUUUCUUUCUAAAAGUUAAAAUUCUACUAAAUAAAACAGCUUGUAACUGAUUAUAUAACUGCUUUAAACAAUGUAACAAAUACACAUGAAAGCUCUGAGGCCCUACACUGUGCAAGGCCAAGUAUGAAUGUGCCUUUGAGUAAGUUUAUCUUUAUUGUCUUUGCUUAGUGUUGUUUUAUUAUUAUUAUUAUUAUUAUUAUUAUUAUUACUACUACUACUACUAUUACUAAUAAAUUUGGAUUUUUCCCCCUUUUAUAUGUUCAAUCCAUGUAAGGAUUCAUGGCACUAGUUUUAAAACAAGCCAGGCCAGAGCGAGAGACUGAAAGAAAGAAAAGAAAGGACGAUUGGCCUUUUGCAUUAAAAAAAAAAAAGUGCUGAAUCACAGUCAGUAAAGCUCUAGUGGAGAUAUUUACCUUAACACUGGCUUGGAAUAAUUUUAUCAGGCCUAAACGCAGAAGAAAGAGGGACGUUUUCAUUCCCAUCGUCGGAUCCUGUAACACAGGGCUUUUACAGAGGGGUUGGCUUGCGACGCCUCAGAGCAAGAAAACCAGAAUAACCAUCUUUUCUGCCUGAUGGUGCUUUUUUUUUCUCUUAAGAAAAUGAAAUCCAGCAUAAUUUUAGAGCGCAGCCUCUGAGGAGUGAAACUGCUGGAAAUUCUUGGGGCUGAUUUUUGUUAAGAGUCUUUAUGCAAACCAUCCCCCUCAUUUUCUUGCUGAAGACAGGAUGAAGGAGAAAAAAAUGCAUGAGCUCGUCAUUUCUCAGAGACAGACAGAGAGGUAUCAUCAGCUUUUAUUAAGUUGAAAGGGGGGGCAUGCAGCUCUUUAAUGGCUGCUUAGCUGUUGUCUCUUUUCAAAAUGGCGGAUUCUCUAACAGCAGCAGCAGGAAGAAGAAGAAGAAGCCGGUCCGCCAUUUCUGGGCGAGCCACACUCGGAUACUACUUUACUAAGUAGUAGGCUAUGUGAAAACUACUUCACUUGAAGUUCAUCGCUUAUGCUUAUUAACAUGACCGUUUCGUCAAAUAAGACGACAAAGAUGGACUUAAAAUAAAUAUCACACACUACCGUACUAAAGAGUAUAUGAAAUUAAUAUGCGACAUGAGGGUUUCACAUACUACUUAGAAGGGUAGUAUGAAGGCUUUAGGACGUAGCCAUGGUGACCUACGAGCACCAAUAGAGAGGCGCAGCAUUCUCGUGCUUCCAUUUCACGCGCAGACAUUCUAACAUUCUGUUUUUAACGGCUUUUAAUAAUCUGGACGGGUUGGACCCAAAAUGGCGGGUUUUAACCAUAUAAGGACAUAAAAGUAGUUUAAAAUUUCAGUUACAGAGCAAAACGGUCAUUUGCUCGUCUCGUGUUCUGUAAACCCCACCUUCGAGAAUGUUCCACACAGUAACACGAUACAGGACGAGGUUGCAGAGUAAACAAGAAGCUGAGAGAGAAAGAACGGACAUUUUGUUCUGUGAUUUUGAGCACACGUGAUGUGUCUGCAAAUAGUGAGUGGCUGGAGCAUUGCAGGAAACUAGUUACAUUUUCAGAGGCAUUCGAGGGGUCAAAUAUUUAGCAAUAACCCCAAAUGGUGCUUAGUCUUGGAUCAAGGUUUCUUCCUAAUAUUCCUAUGUUAGAAGAAACCUUGAUAUGAACCAUGGUUUAAAAGGAGGAACAUGUCAACAGUGGGUACUGGGAUUAGUUUAGGAAAUGCACAAAUGGAGUGGAAAAAAGUGACUUCUGGCUCAGACAGACAGAAGAUCCAUGAGAUGCAACAACGACCAUCAGAAUACAGCUGGACGUAAGCAGUAUAAUAUAUGAAUGUGAGAACAUGGAUGCGGCACACCUAUAAAAAAAAAAAGAGAGAGAAAGAAAGAAGACGCUUCGAACAUCAGGCAGUUGCUCUAACCUCACAACAUAGCAGGACUAAAAAUGGGAGCAGCCUGGAGGGUGGAGGGCACACGCAGCUCCCUCAGAAGUGCUUUUGUCUUGUUCUAUUUUAAACAUUGAGAGGCACGGACAGAGAGAAAACCCUGCUGUCAAGAAACUGCUUUCAUACGCACCGGAUCCCUAAAGAAGAUUCUCAUCAUCUGAAUAGUUAUCUGUUAGGCCAUGUUUGUGAGUACGCUCUGAGAGUACGUCUGAUUUAGGAGCUAAUCGAUGUUGGCUGGUUAAAGAUCUGCAGAUGUGGAGAAUUUCCAGUGGAUUGAGUGUUUAGGGUUCAAAGGUCAGAUUAUACGGUUAAACCCAUGACAACAUGACUACAGGGUACGCACACAGUGUUUGUAUUUAAAUAAAGCCUUUUGAGACGUAAGUACUCUUGAUUGAGACUUGCUUCAAAAGUGAUCGAAUGAGAGAGAAUUACUAUGGAGAUGAUUUCAUUAUCUAUCUGUAAUUGUGUAUGUCAUUGAAAGAGCCUUACUGGUUUCAUGUUAGUCAGUACUUGAAAUGCUGAAAUAUUUGAGGAAAUAUGAGUGGGAUAUGAGGCGUUGUUCAGCAACCACCUAUAUUGCUGUCAAUCCAGUUAAUACAAAACGGUUACUUGAAUCUCCUGGAAUUUCAUUAUGAAGUUCAUUUAAAGUGCUGCAGAUUAAUGAUGUUUAAAAGGAAAUGGAUUAUUAGUAGUCUAUACUUAGUAGCGUAAGAAUUACACAAUUCUGUAUUUUGUAUAUUAUUUCAUUAACACAAGCCUGACCUUUUUGGAUAAUGUAUAUAUGAAAAAAUACAAACGUCUAUAUUCCUUUAUAUAUUUUUGUGUACCGUGCCUAUUUUUUAAGGCCCACAGUCUUUUUCAUCUUUUGUUCUGCUCUUAUGUGUGCACUCUCACUCUCUCUCUCUCUCUCUCUCUCUCUCUCUCUCUCUCGGUGUUGAAUGAAUCAUUUACCCAUUCUUAAUGUCCUAUGUUUCUAUGUACAUAUAAAUCAUGCAUAAAACACUUUAUAGCAAUGGGAGUGUAGGUGUGAGUGGGUGUUAUAGCAGGAUAUGAUUCACUUGGAGACUUAAAGGAGAAAAUCUGGUUUCACCGCUUUGCACUAAACACCUCCCUCAGAAGCCGUGUCUUUCGGAUGCGGUGUCAUUAAAGGCUGUUCCAUUUUAAAGGGUGUUUCAAAUACGCCAAUGAACUGCAGCCUGCUUUCUGAGUGCUCAGUAACUGUGUACUAUAUCACACAACCUGAGAAUGUGAAGAAAAUGGUAGAAAUAAUAGUAAACGUCAAUGAGGUACAAGUCGAUGAGAAAGCAUGAGCCACUUGUAUCAAAAUCUGUCAAUUAUACUGCGGAUCACGUGGGAUGAGGCUUUUUUUAUGAGACAUCAUGGCGUUUUUGCAGAUUUUUUUUGUGUGUGGGGCGACUGGAUACAGAGGAGGCAUAGUGCCGAGGAAGUAAAGAUGCACAUCCAGUGUGCAGCACAGCGCUAUUGAGUGUAGUUGCAUUUACAUUUACCUCAUUUGGCUGAUGCUUUUAUACAAAGUGACUUAUAAUAGAGACAGGAUACUGGUGGGCAGUUGGGGGUUAAGGGACCCAACAGUAGAGAUGCUGGAAUUUGCACUAACAAUCUUCCUAUCAGUAGACCAAUCCCCUAACUUCUGAGCCACCACUACCCAGAAAUAUGCAGAAUGAGCAAGGUAUUUCAGUGCAAUGAGAGGAGUUUCACUAAGAAGCAAUGUGUCCAGAAAGGCUUGUUGAUAGAUUUUCAUAGAAAACUCACCUCACAAGCAGUAGAUGGAUCUUCAAUUACAGGCCCAAAACCCUCAAAUUGCUUCUUUAAUGCUUUUGGCACAAAAUGAACUUCAUUGAAUUGGAACAGAUAUUUUUUUCCUUCUGUUGUCAAAGCACCAUUUCCCAUUUUCUCAGCUCUUAAGUUUCACUCCUUUAAUAUUACAAUAGUACAAAGUUUGGGACUUUUGGAAGAGAAGAAAAAUAAGUUGCAGAAAUCAUUCAGAACUUGGAUCUCCUCACCAUUCACACACUAUAGAAAAUUUUGAGCUUUUUGUUCUUUUGUAACAUAUAUUAUAAAGUUCUAGGUCUUACUUUAUUAUAUGAUUAUGUAGUAAUGUAAGUACUUAAGUGCCUUGUGAUUAUUUUUUUAAUGUUUUAAUUCUAGAUAUUGGUGUUUUCUGUAUGGUUGUUUACAUGUACUGGAAUAAAGUACCUUUUAAACUGUG
Long non-coding RNA from Ictalurus punctatus (channel catfish), 4610 nucleotides. NCBI's taxonomy places the organism in Eukaryota, Metazoa, Chordata, Actinopteri, Siluriformes, Ictaluridae. The record is from Ensembl.